Molecule: long non-coding RNA, 282 nt
Filed under: Columba livia (rock pigeon)
Lineage: Eukaryota; Metazoa; Chordata; Aves; Columbiformes; Columbidae
Description: partial uncharacterized LOC102086743
Source: RNAcentral
AAUGUAAAAGCUAAUUAUUUUUAGUCUUCUUUACUUUCAGCAUAGAGAUCUGCGUGGCACCAUCCUGCAUGGCAGCAAGGACAGACCACACCUGUUGUGAAUAAACAUCCUUUUGCAGAGAGAAGAGAAAGAAGUUUGAUUCUCAUCAGUUAGGACCAUUUUAAAACAGGCUGAAAUGCAGGUUAUUGUGGUGGAAGCCUCUGAAGGUGUCCAGUCACAACCAGGAUGUGUCCUUCAAAGCAGGGGUUCACUCGCAGCUCUGAUGACCCAGACACACAGCCA